RNAcentral lists this ribosomal RNA (580 nucleotides) under Arthrobacter sp. HRTK188. Its description in RNAcentral is "bacterial SSU rRNA". It matches the Rfam family "Bacterial small subunit ribosomal RNA", at positions 102 to 694 of the family's 1533-position model. The record is from RNAcentral. Lineage: Bacteria; Bacillati; Actinomycetota; Actinomycetes; Micrococcales; Micrococcaceae.
ACGGGUGAGUAACACGUGAGUAACCUGCCCUUGACUCUGGGAUAAGCCUGGGAAACUGGGUCUAAUACCGGAUAUGACCUUCCAUCGCAUGGUGGUUGGUGGAAAGCUUUUGUGGUUUUGGAUGGACUCGCGGCCUAUCAGCUUGUUGGUGGGGUAAUGGCCUACCAAGGCGACGACGGGUAGCCGGCCUGAGAGGGUGACCGGCCACACUGGGACUGAGACACGGCCCAGACUCCUACGGGAGGCAGCAGUGGGGAAUAUUGCACAAUGGGCGCAAGCCUGAUGCAGCGACGCCGCGUGAGGGAUGACGGCCUUCGGGUUGUAAACCUCUUUCAGUAGGGAAGAAGCCGCAAGGUGACGGUACCUGCAGAAGAAGCGCCGGCUAACUACGUGCCAGCAGCCGCGGUAAUACGUAGGGCGCAAGCGUUAUCCGGAAUUAUUGGGCGUAAAGAGCUCGUACGCGGUUUGUCGCGUCUGCCGUGAAAGUCCGGGGCUCAACUCCAGAUCUGCGGUGGGUACGGGCAGACUAGAGUGAUGUAGGGGAGACUGGAAUUCCUGGUGUAGCGGUGAAAUGCGCAUA